ACACAUGCAAGUCGAACGGAGCCAACCGACGGAGAUCUUCGGAUCAAAGACGGGGAAGCUUAGUGGCGGACGGGUGAGUAACGCGUGAGUAACCUGCCGUGGAGAGUGGGAUAACACAUCGAAAGGUGUGCUAAUACCGCAUAUGACAGCAGUAUCACAUGAUACAGCUGUGAAAGAUUUAUCGCUCCAUGAUGGACUCGCGUCUGAUUAGCUGGUUGGUAGGGUAGAGGCCUACCAAGGCGACGAUCAGUAGCCGGACUGAGAGGUUGAUCGGCCACAUUGGGACUGAGACACGGCCCAGACUCCUACGGGAGGCAGCAGUGGGGAAUAUUGCGCAAUGGGGGCAACCCUGACGCAGCAACGCCGCGUGAAGGAAGAAGGUCUUCGGAUUGUAAACUUUUGUCUUUGGUGAAGAUAGUGACGGUAGCCAAGGAGGAAGCCACGGCUAACUACGUGCCAGCA
This 462-nucleotide ribosomal RNA is filed under the name uncultured bacterium. RNAcentral's name for it is "bacterial SSU rRNA". It matches the Rfam family "Bacterial small subunit ribosomal RNA", at positions 51 to 513 of the family's 1533-position model. The record is from RNAcentral.